GGGGAUGUAAUGGUUUCGACAUUACACCAGAAGCAUAGAUUGCAAGUAGUGGAUGGUCGCUUUGGCCACUUUAAAAAAGCGAAAUUAAAAAUAAACGCUGAUAAUCAAGAAUUAGCAUUAGCUGCCUAAUUGCGGCUACGCUUUACUAGGUAGUCCCACCUAUUUAGAUAAAGUGCAAUAACAGUGGGAAACAAAUCUACUCUUGCUUUUAGAGUAGAGGGUAUUUAAAAAAGCUAUAUUUUAUUUUAACCUGUUUGUCGGUGGAAGUAAAAUGAAUAUAAAAGAUAAACUAAACUUGUAGAUGUUUAUGUGGAAAGUGUUAUGGACAGGAGUUCGACUCUCCUCAUCUCCACCA
RNAcentral lists this transfer-messenger RNA (355 nucleotides) under human gut metagenome. It matches the Rfam family "transfer-messenger RNA". From Rfam's summary of the family: Bacterial tmRNA, also known as 10Sa RNA or SsrA, is named for its dual tRNA and mRNA-like properties. Its role is to liberate the mRNA from a stalled ribosome. To accomplish this part of the tmRNA is used as a reading frame that ends in a translation stop signal. The record is from RNAcentral.